RNAcentral lists this ribosomal RNA (496 nucleotides) under uncultured bacterium. RNAcentral describes it as "partial 16S ribosomal RNA". It matches the Rfam family "Bacterial small subunit ribosomal RNA", at positions 28 to 507 of the family's 1533-position model. The record is from RNAcentral.
GAUGAACGCUGGCGGCGUGCCUAAUACAUGCAAGUCGAGCGAACAGACGAGGAGCUUGCUCCUCUGACGUUAGCGGCGGACGGGUGAGUAACACGUGGAUACCUACCUAUAAGACUGGGUUAACUUCGGGAAACCGGAGCUAAUACCGGAUAAUAUAUUGAACCGCAUGGUUCAAUAGUGAAAGACGGUUUUGCUGUCACUUAUAGAUGGAUCCGCGCCGCAUUAGCUAGUUGGUAAGGUAACGGCUUACCAAGGCGACGAUGCGUAGCCGACCUGAGAGGGUGAUCGGCCACACUGGAACUGAGACACGGUCCAGACCACUACGGGAGGCAGCAGUAGGGAAUCUUCCGCAAUGGGCGAAAGCCUGACGGAGCAACGCCGCGUGAGUGAUGAAGGUCUUCGGAUCGUAAAACUCUGUUAUUAGGGAAGAACAAAUGUGUAAGUAACUAUGCACGUCUUGACGGUACCUAAUCAGAAAGCCACGGCUAACUACGUG